GAUGAAGAACGUAGCGAAAUGCGAUAAGUAGUGUGAAUUGUAGAAUUCAGUGAAUCAUCGAAUCUUUGAACGCACAUUGCGCCCUUUGGUAUUCCUUAGGGCAUGCCUGUUCGAGCGUCAUUUAAACCUUCAAGCUCAGCUUGGUGUUGGGUGACUGUCCGCUUCACCGCGGACUCGCCUCAAAAUUAUUGGCGGCCGGUACAUUGGCUUCGAGCGCAGCAGAAACGCGAACUCGGGCCCGUCGUAUUGGCUCCCAGAAGCUAUCUUCACAAUUUUGACCUCGGAUCAGGUAGGGAUACCCGCUGAACUUAAGCAUAUCAAUAAGCGGAGGA
RNAcentral lists this unclassified non-coding RNA (332 nucleotides) under soil metagenome. RNAcentral describes it as "partial contains 5.8S ribosomal RNA, internal transcribed spacer 2, and large subunit ribosomal RNA". The stretch from base 1 to 120 matches the Rfam family "5.8S ribosomal RNA", at positions 35 to 154 of the family's 154-position model. The record is from RNAcentral.